This 20-nucleotide microRNA is filed under the name Ananas comosus (pineapple). RNAcentral's name for it is "microRNA 159d". Lineage: Eukaryota; Viridiplantae; Streptophyta; Magnoliopsida; Poales; Bromeliaceae. The record is from RNAcentral.
UUGGAUUGAAGGGAGCUCCG